Molecule: RNA transcript, 2758 nt
Organism: Hordeum vulgare subsp. vulgare (domesticated barley)
Lineage: Eukaryota; Viridiplantae; Streptophyta; Magnoliopsida; Poales; Poaceae
Gene name: protein FAR1-RELATED SEQUENCE 8-like
Exons: 9
Source: RefSeq, a predicted model, not a curated record
AUACACAUGUAUUCCAAUACGCAGCCCAGAUGGUCAGCUGUACUCUGUCAUUCUCACGCUGAGCACCGGCAUCAUUCAAAUUUCGAAUCACCCUGCGAGAGGAAACGCCAGAGCCGGAGCAGCCGGGCACCAGAGCCGGUGGUGUGCGAUCCACCUGCUCCUCCGACGCCACAUCGGAGAGCCUCCGAUGCAUGACGUGGGUGCUCGCUGCCUCUCCUCCCCCAACUCCGACACCGUGGACUCCUCACUGCCUCACCGACCACUAGCGCCAGAGAUCUCACCGCCGAUGUGGCCGCCGACGGACGGUUUGCAGCCCGUCCCCGAAUCCCUCACCCAGAUCCUGCUCAGCUUCUCCUCCUUCCCAACGCAAGAUCCUCAACUCUGGACAACACAGCAACAUGAGCAAUACGAGGUGGGGAUACAGAUUUAGGAGAGGAGGAUUCGGGAGGAGGGAGCUGGGUCGAGACAGAGGAUCAAUGUCGGCCUCAGUUCACCACGGGAGAUGGAGAUGAGCAAGAGGAGGCUGUGGAUGGAUCUGAUGCCGAGAACAGAAUAAAUGGCGAGGUGGGGUUCGGGAGUUUGUACCCAAAUGCAUAGACGCAACGACAAUCGAAUGGAGAGCGAGAAGAAUUCGAGAUUUCCCCUCCGACGCCGGAUGAUGAAGGAGAAACGGGGUCAGUAGCAACAAAGGUGUCUGUGCCGCUGUGUUCCAGAGGGAUGGAAGCAACCACAACCAACCCCAUUCAUUCUCAAAAGUCUGACCAGGACCAAUGUACAUGGAAGAGAAGGAUACGGCUUGGCAAAAUACCAGAUCAGAGAGAGCCAAAACGAGGAAGAGUGUGCUCGCUGGAGAAAGCAAUGCGCAGCUAUGUUCACCGGAAGUCAGGGCAAGUGGUUGCUCCUGAGAUUGCACGAGAGUUCGACUCACUAGCAGAGGCAUUUAAGUUUUACAACCUCUAUUCUUGGGAGAUUGGUUUUGGCAUCAGAUAUGGUCAAUCUAGGACAAAUGCACAUAAGAGCAGAACAGUUCAAGACAUCGUUUGUGGUUGCUCGGGACGCCCAAAAAAAGAAAACACAAAGUCGGUGGCGUGCAACUGCCAAGCCUUGUUCAGGCUACACCGGACUAACGACAAUGGAUGGUAUAUUCAUGACUUCAGACCAAUGUCGUGCAAUGGAGUUGUCUAUCACUAAUGUGCUACCUGGAACAAAACACCGCUGGUGCAAAUGGCACAUUUUGCGUCGUGCAAAGGAGUUCCUUGGACCAGUCUACACAAUAAAUAGAGAUUUCAGGGAUGAGCUACACAAGAUUUUAGAAUACAUGCUCACUUUAGAUGAGUUCGAAGAAGCCUGGGGGAAUCUAAUUCACAAGUAUAGUUUGCAGGAUCACCCAAUGAUGACACAAAUAUACGAGCUGAGAAUGAAAUGGGCAAAGCCAUAUUUUGCAGGUUCAGAUUAUAUGUGUUAUCGCAGUGAGCACAUGAUGAAUCUCUCCUUGAUAAAAUUUUUGAGGUGUAUUUUGCGCAAGGAUGACCAGCACUCAGAGGUCAGAGAGCAAACUAUAUGUUGAAGAAUUUUUUUCCUGCUCGAGCAUCAAUGCACAUGUUCCUGAAGCAUUACCAGAAACUUCAGUUUGACCGUGAUUCCGAAGAAAAUUUUGCUGAAAAGAAGAGCCGAUUGGCGUGCAAGUGCUAAAAACAGGUUUGCCUAUGGAGAGACAUGCCGGGAAGGUAUACACGCCGGCAUUGUUCAAGCUCUUCCAAGAAGCAUGCUUUAAAUCUGCAUCCUACUUCGUCGAGAACACUUGCGUAGUCAAAGAUACAUACCGCGUGACACACCUUUAUGCCGAGCGUAGUGAAAGUUGGUCCAAGACUUCUUACAACGUGAAAGUGGCUCAACGUGAAAAUUUGUUUCAAUGCGAGUGUGGUAUGUACGAGCAUAUGGGUUUGCUCUGCUGCCAUGGCUUACGGGUAAUGGCACACCUGAAGUCCACGAACAUACCAGAAGCACACAUCUUGAGUAGGUGGACUAAAAAUGCAUGUGAAGAUCUACCCGAGCAUUUGAAAAUUUACAAGGGGCGCACACCUAUCCUUGAUUCAACUACAUUCAGGCAUACAACACUUUACACCACAGCUCUUGAUAUAGUAAAGAUGGGUGACAGCAACCCUGAGGCAUUCGCGUUUGCAAUGUCCAGAUUAUCUGAUACAAGGGUUGGCCUCAAAGAAAAGGCAAAAGAGCAGGACGGCAAAGGACUUGAGGAUGUUCUACACAAAGCAAACAAUGAUGGCCAACAUAAAUUUAACGGUGACACUGGGCUCAAAUCAUCAAUGAGCGUAGAAUUUCGCAAGAGAGAUCGUGGCCGACCAACCAACUCAAGAUCUAGACCAGGAUAUGAAGUUAGUAAGCCAAGAACAAAGUUCUGCAAGAUUUUCCGGGCAAAGGGACACAACUCUGGUAAUUGCCCAACAAACGGUGGACCAAACAAGAAGCAACGGAAGGAACCCAAGUGUGGUAAGUGUGGCUUGCUUGGUCACAUUAGGACACAAUGCAGUCGUGGAUUCGAAUCGUGGUUUCAAUGACGGAGUAAAACAAAUACCUGACAUCAACUCGAUGUCCCAAACAAUAUAAGGCAAUGCAGUGUUUACCACUUUUGGUGUAAGAUCGUAGUUGUAUUAGAUAUUGUGUGACUCAGACAUUUGUUACAAUCCAUUAUGAAGGUUUGAUAUCCAUGAUUAUUCAUUUACCGUAACACACACGUGGC